GCCGGACGAGUCAAAAUCAUUUCUGCUUGAAGAACCUUCCAUAUUGCUCGCAUUAUACUCUGAAAAUAAAAGAGGAUGAUUGAAUGCCAAUAAAUACUAUCCGGUAUACCCCGGCCUUGCCCGUGCCAAAGGGCCAAACUUCGGAUAUGAUUUGACCGAGUCCCCGAAAGGUGAAAAAAAAGUUAUACAAAGCUUCUCUCGUAAGUGAUCUCUUUUGAGCAAAGGCUAAGGAUUCCGUGGCUCUUAGUGGGCAAACAGAUACUUUGAUCGGGCAUAAUAUCGCCAAUAUCAAAGGCAAGACGACUGAGGAUCAAUCCUGGCAAUGGAAAUUGGCCUGGCCUCCUUAAUAUAGACGGUGCCUUUAUUUUCAUAGGAUAUGGUAUAUGCCUCAGAGCGUUGGGGCUUGCCAACAUGAGAGAGUCGUGCGGUCCCUUGUAAAAGUUGAUGCAGAGAGAUCUUGGCGAGGUCCUCAAAUGAUCACUGAUGCCUUCUAAAAAUGGUACAAAGUCUAUACAAGUAAACUCUUUACUUAUCCAUAGAGGUUAAAUAGCCAGAUAUUGUCUUAAAUAAACAACUAACCUGCAACUCUCUAAUUCCGUAGAUAUGCGCUAGCAGCGAUUUUAGUUAUGCCGAUUAAAGACAUUUCUGACAAGGAAAUCCGCGAUAGAACUGAUUUUAUAACCACAAUGAAUUGCUUAACGGCAAUCCAUGCGAGGAUCCAUUAAAGCUGAAGUGAAGGGGUUAACUGAUUGAUCAAUACUCGUAUCCGAAAAUAGAGUUGGUCACUGAAUGUCUUUAAAUCUGAGAUUUAUGCCCAAUAAUAUCUUAUCGAAAGGGGAUUUUUAGGAGCGCCCCUUAUUAUAUUUUCCGCACAAUAAGCUUCAAGGUGAAGAGAGCUGCGCACAUUUAUUGUGGAAGGUGCUUUAGGAGCUAUUAACCUUUAGAUUGAUGAUAAUAAUAAUAAUAAUGAAAACUUGUCUGUUUUGCAAGGUAUCUUGACCAAAGCUACCUUCUUUAGGAAAUCUGCGCCAAGUAGUAUGUAAUAUUCGUCGUGCCGAAGAUAAUCAUACGUACGUUCAACAGCUGCCGGAAUGAAAU
This is a non-coding RNA of Drosophila virilis, 1098 nucleotides long. NCBI's taxonomy places the organism in Eukaryota, Metazoa, Arthropoda, Insecta, Diptera, Drosophilidae. The record is from RefSeq and is a predicted model, not a curated record.